UGUGGGCUUGUUAGGGUUUUUCCUCUCUCAUGAGGCUGAAGUGCCGGUGCAAGAGGGUGGUGAUGAAGCAGCGGCUAAGAGGCGAGAAUGGAGCAAGGUGGGGAUGUGGCUAAGAGGCAUAUACGUUCCCAGAGCUCGUGUCGGAGCCUUCUGGUGUUGGUCCAUAGUUAAAACCCUUGUGGCAGCUGUGAGGAGUGAGGGGUGCAGAGUGGGUACUGUGGACGAGAGGUGAGGCCCCUUCCUAGCGUCAAUGGUGAAGACCCGAGUAGUGAUCACCGAUGAAGCUCUCUUGGCAGAGUCAAAUAGACAUCCUCAGCCUUCUUGACUCUCUUCCACAGGACUUUUGACCCCUGAAAGCCAGCCUUUGAAGAUGAUGUCAUGAUGGUACUUUGUUGGAGCUUUCAGGGAAGGUGAAAGGGUCUUCAGGUCGGGAGUUGGAGGUAAAGGUUGAGGAGGCGGUUUCUCCUAGAGACUUGGACGUGGGAGAUGUUGUGGAGGAGGAGGAUUUUGUAGCCCCCCUAAUAAUUUUGUCAAGCUGAGUAAUUGUUUGGGGAUGCUAGUAGUGGCUUUGGAAAAGUAAAUCGGGUUUCUUCUUAGGAAAUUGGAUUCGAAAAAAAUGCAUGGGGUUAAGGUGUCAGGGGGAAAAAGGAAACCCUUGGCUUCUUUUCAGUUAGAGAGGGAAAUCUGAAAGCUUGAAUGUUUAGUCAAUUAUAGUAGCACUCUGUCCACCAUAAAGGGAAAGGGGAGGGGUGCUGGGAAUUAACAGAAGGGAUCAUAGGUGGUCUUUGCAAGUUUCUAUCCCUGAAAGGGGUUUCUCCAGUGAGGUGUGUAGGUAGU
Molecule: long non-coding RNA, 837 nt
Filed under: Vitis vinifera (wine grape)
Lineage: Eukaryota; Viridiplantae; Streptophyta; Magnoliopsida; Vitales; Vitaceae
Description: long non-coding RNA (VVIN_LNC001376)
Source: RNAcentral